UGGGGAAUAUUGCACAAUGGGCGCAAGCCUGAUGCAGCCAUGCCGCGUGUGUGAAGAAGGCCUUCGGGUUGUAAAGCACUUUCAGCGAGGAGGAAGGUGGUGAGCUUAAUACGCUCAUCAAUUGACGUUACUCGCAGAAGAAGCACCGGCUAACUCCGUGCCAGCAGCCGCGGUAAUACGGAGGGUGCAAGCGUUAAUCGGAAUUACUGGGCGUAAAGCGCACGCAGGCGGUUUGUUAAGUCAGAUGUGAAAUCCCCGGGCUCAACCUGGGAACCGCAUUUGAAACUGGCAAGCUAGAGUCUCGUAGAGGGGGGUAGAAUUCCAGGUGUAGCGGUGAAAUGCGUAGAGAUCUGGAGGAAUACCGGUGGCGAAGGCGGCCCCCCUGGACGAAGACUGACGCUCAGGUGCGAAAGCGUGGGGCAGCAAACAGGAUUAGAUACCCUGGUAGUCCAGCGCUGUAAACGAUGUCGAUUUGGAGGUUGUGCCCCUUGAGGCGUGGCUUCCGGAGCUAACGCGUUAAAUCGACCGCCU
RNAcentral lists this ribosomal RNA (531 nucleotides) under uncultured bacterium. RNAcentral describes it as "partial 16S ribosomal RNA". It matches the Rfam family "Bacterial small subunit ribosomal RNA", at positions 355 to 874 of the family's 1533-position model. The record is from RNAcentral.